UUUAUUGGAAUUCAUUGUUAUGAUGAGCAGACAUCAAGAAUUGAAGGCACACAUGCAUGUAAUGGACAAUCCACUCAAAUUUUUUAGAAUAAAGUGUUUGGAGUUCAUCUAGAUGAAACAUACUCGAACAAGUUUCAGGACAUUCUUCUGGAUGGUCUGGGCAGUCCAAAGAAUAGUCUAAACCAAAGAUUACCAGGGAGUUUGCCCAGUGAUCACUUGAUGAGCUAGACACAAAUUGAAGUGUUAGUGAUAUAAUGGAGAGAAAAAUACUCACUUUCUAAUCCAUUCAUAGAUGUUUCUCUCCUCAGCUUCAUGUUUAUUAUGUCCAAUAUGAGUCAUGACUUUUCUUUUGUACCAAUUGACAUUCAAACCAUGGACACCAGCAGCACUGAGCAUUUUACUUUCAUUUCUUCUUCAGUCUGAAUAUCUAAAAGAUAAUCUGAAUAAAUAUAGGGUAGACAAUUCAUUUACCUCUUGGAAUAUUUUUCAAUUUUACUUCAAAUGCUGAAAACAGUUCAAACAAAAUUACAAAUAACAUAGUAUGUUGAGUGGUUUUACCCUGUAAUUUCACUAAUUUAAGAUUUAAGUAAUUUGAGAUUUGAUAUUUUUACAACUUGUAAUUCAAGUUUUAUAACAAUUUUCACAGUAUGAAUUUAAUUUGCAAAGCAGAAGUUGUAAAUUUUGAUAUCCAUUGAUAUGUCAAAGUGAUUUGGAAGUCCCAACCAUUUUAAAAUUCUUGAAGUAUUUUACCCUUGAUAUCUUGAAUACUCAGAUAUCUCAGAAGUUUUUAUCAGUCCCAUUGUCCCAUUGUAGGAUAACGAGGUUUGACAACAUAGUUUGAAUUGAAAAUGUUUGGUUCCCACCGCACACACACUUAAAUUGCUUCCCAUGGGCCUGACCCCAUGAAUUAAAAAUGAUUUCACAGAUGACUGUAGACAAAUUAAAAAAAAAAGAAAGAAAGAAAAUGAAAACUACAUGCACGUUUCUGCACCUACUUAAGGUUGAAUUAAUUUAAUUAAUGUGCAUGUUUGCUUGCUCUUCUCUGUAUGAUAUAUCUUCAUGUUCUCUUUCCUAAUAAUCAAAUUCUUGUUUCAAAAUAAAAAUGCUUAAUUUAG
Long non-coding RNA from Saccostrea echinata, 1115 nucleotides. RefSeq lists it as uncharacterized. The record is from RefSeq and is a predicted model, not a curated record. The transcript has 2 exons. Lineage: Eukaryota; Metazoa; Mollusca; Bivalvia; Ostreida; Ostreidae.